UACGGAGGGUGCAAGCGUUAUCCGGAUUCACUGGGCUUAAAGGGUGCGUAGGCGGCCAAGUAAGUCAGGUGUGAAAGUUUGCGGCUCAACCGUAAAAUUGCUUUUGAUACUGCUAGGCUGGAAUUAGGAUGAGGUCAGCGGAAUGUGGCAUGUAGCGGUGAAAUGCAUAGAUAUGCCAUAGAACACCAAUGGCGAAGGCAGCUGGCUAGACCUGGAUUGACGCUGAGGCACGAAAGCGUGGGGAGCGAACAGG
Molecule: ribosomal RNA, 253 nt
Filed under: uncultured bacterium
Lineage: Bacteria
Description: partial 16S ribosomal RNA
Rfam family: Bacterial small subunit ribosomal RNA
Source: RNAcentral